UACGGGGGGGGGAAGCGUUGUUCGGAAUUACUGGGCGUAAAGGGCUCGUAGGCGGCCAACUAAGUCGGACGUGAAAUCCCCAGGCUCAACCUGGGAACUGCGUCCGAUACUGGAUGGCUUGAAUCCGGGAGAGGGAUGCAGAAUUCCAGGUGUAGCGGUGAAAUGCGUAGAUAUCUGGAGGAAUACCGGUGGCGAAGGCGGCAUCCUGGACCAAUACUGACGCUGAGGAGCGAAAGCCAGGGGAGCAAACGGG
This 253-nucleotide ribosomal RNA is filed under the name uncultured bacterium. RNAcentral describes it as "partial 16S ribosomal RNA". It matches the Rfam family "Bacterial small subunit ribosomal RNA", at positions 524 to 776 of the family's 1533-position model. The record is from RNAcentral.